Molecule: non-coding RNA, 97 nt
Filed under: Streptococcus urinalis
Lineage: Bacteria; Bacillati; Bacillota; Bacilli; Lactobacillales; Streptococcaceae
Also listed under: 1 other name
Description: Guanine sequence
Rfam family: Purine riboswitch aptamer
About the family: Riboswitches are metabolite binding domains within certain messenger RNAs that serve as precision sensors for their corresponding targets. Allosteric rearrangement of mRNA structure is mediated by ligand binding, and this results in modulation of gene expression.
Source: RNAcentral
AAUAUAAAAUGAAUAAAUACUUAUUUAUACUGUGAAUUGGCGCAGAGUCUCUACAAGACACCGGAAAUGUCUAACAAUAAGUGAGCAUAGAGCUUGC